UACGUAGGGGGCUAGCGUUGUCCGGAAUCAUUGGGCGUAAAGCGCGUGUAGGCGGUCCGGUAAGUCCGCUGUGAAAGUCGGGGGCUCAACCCUCGGAUGCCGGUGGAUACUGUCGGGCUUGAGUACGGAAGAGGCGAGUGGAAUUCCUGGUGUAGCGGUGAAUUGCGCAGAUAUCAGGAGGAACACCAAUUGCGAAGGCAGCUCGCUGGGACGUUACUGACGCUGAGACGCGAAAGCGUGGGGAGUAAACAGG
RNAcentral lists this ribosomal RNA (253 nucleotides) under uncultured bacterium. Its description in RNAcentral is "partial 16S ribosomal RNA". It matches the Rfam family "Bacterial small subunit ribosomal RNA", at positions 524 to 776 of the family's 1533-position model. The record is from RNAcentral.